UAAAAGAAAAAAAUAUUUAAAGAAAAAGCCAUAGGAAAAGAAAUAAAAACCAUACCUCACAUCUAUAGAUCAAUCUUCUGUCUUCGAUUCAAGAAACUGUUCAAGAAAAUCUCUCCACUGCAAUAGAUAGAGGUACCCUUAUUACUCUUCUUACGAUUCUAUUAUGUGAUUAAUCUUGAUAUUCAAACAAUUUAAAGGUUCAUGUAAAUUAUGCUUACACUAUGUGUUCCUAACUUUGUUCAAGUACUAAUUCAACAAAGAAAUCAAUGGGUUUUGACACUAUUUUCUAAAUUUUUUUUAUAAUACAUCUUUAGAGGAAAGAGCACCUUUCAUUAGCAUUAUUUAAACUCAAAACUACACUGGACAUACAAAUCGUAGCUACGUUACUUUGGACGCAUGAUGAUAUCUUUGAAAAAAGUAAUCAUUGUCCAUUUGGCUUUGAACAUUUGUUGGCUUUUAAGAGCAUAUGCAUCGCAAGUAUCUCCAUGAUUUUUCCAUUAAUAAAAAGAAAAAGAAAAAAGAAAGAGAGAGCAAGGGAAUCGUCUCUUGUUUGAGAUACUUUGGCAAACUCAUGAGAUACUUCUUGUACACUUGCCAUUUUAUGGUCAAUGCCAAUCUCAUGAGAAACUUCUAAUACAUUUUUCAUCUUAUGAAUGGUUAAUGAUUUUUCAAAAGAUUCCAAGCGAUAAUCAUGCUCUAAGGCUCUUUUAAAUAACAAUCUAGGGUAAAAUGCAAAUUCACCAAAUUUUUUUUGAUGUAGUGGAGAAAGUGGACGAAACGAAAGGCAUAAGGAACUCAUGAAAUAAGAAGUUUGUUAGAAUUUGUACCACAUCCAGACUUUGAGAGAUUUAUGGACAAUAUAUAAGUGUAUGGUAAUUCUCCAUUCAUUAGUUAGCUUUUAGGUGUGAGUUAGGCUCAUACUAAUAUGAUAUCAAAGCCCAAGGUUCCAAUUUCUGGAUUGUGGAUCACACCCGUGGAUGUCCAGUCCCACAAACUUCGCGGUUCAGAAUUCCAAUCUUGAACGUGAGGGAGGUGUGUUAGAAUUUGUCCAACAUCCAGACUUUGAAAGAUUUGUGAUUAAUAUUUAAAUGUGUGGCAAUUCUCUACUCAUGAACUAGCUUUUAGAUGUGAGUUAGGCUCAUAUUAAUAGAGUUGACCAAAUUGAUGAAAUAAGAAAUGGACCAAAUAAUUUAUCUGAACAUUCAUUUUUUUUUAUAAAAGUUGUAGUUCAAUUUUAAUUAUUUUUUUAAAUAUAACUAUAAAAUGUCUUAAAAUGAUAUUUUUCAUAACACAACAAAUACACAAAUUCUCACUUUUCUUUUCAUAUAUCAUCUUUCUACUAAAAGUAUCUCAUAUUUUGAUUAUAACAUAUUGAUGAGCGAUUGUAAAUGCGGGGUUUGUUGUUUUCGUUUUACUAAGCUUCAGGUUUUAAAUUUAUAACCCCUAAAUGUCUGCAAGUGCACAGAUGUGCGCUGUAGUACUUAGGGUAUCGAUCCACAGAGUCUUAGUUGUUUCCGUACGAAUUCACUGCAACGCUUAAAUCAGAUUAGAACUAAAAGGGUUUUGGUUUUGGUUUUGGGUUUUUGGUUGUCACUAAAUUUAAACUAGAAAGCUAAACAAGUAAAAGCAAAUAAAAACGAAAGCAAGUGCAGGCAAGUAAAAAUCGGCUAUGAAUGAAAGCAAGUAACAAGCGAAUAAAAGCAGAAUGGAAAUCUAAGGUUGUAAACAAUUAAAGACAAACGUUGGGGCUCAAGGGGUUUCGCAGGGGUUCAUGGACUAAGCUAUGUCGAUUUUAAACAAGUGAUAAAGGUAAUCAACUAUGUAUGUUCUAGAACUCGAGGCACGGAAGUAUGAAUAGCCUACUUUCACAGCACUAAACAACUAUCUCUCGCAACCCUAAUCAGUAGGUUUCCACUCUGAUUCUGGAAGGGAGAAGAUGCAAUAGCAGAACAAGACUCAUCAACAUUCACAACUCAACUACAGGUAGGUUUCCACUCCUGUAGAAGAAUUGCUCGUUUCACCCUAGUUCAGACAAUCAAUGAAAGCUUUCGCAACAUAUCAUGUCAGAUCGGCUUCUAAGUGGCCAACAAAGAAUCACGCAGUAAGAUUAAAGGCAAACAAAGAACAUCUAGAAGAUUAAUAAUCCUAAAUCUAUCGAUUCAUAAGCAAAGACACAUGAAAUUCCCUUUGAACAAUCCCUUUAAACCCAACUGGGUAACUACUCAAACAUAUUGUAACAAAGCAUCAUAAACGAAAUUGAAAGUGCAGGAAACUAAAGAAAAGAAGGAAGAAAAACGAAGAACAGAGUUGCAGGUGGAGGCGCGAUGAUGCUCUCCAGCGGCGGCUCCUUCUUCGGGAUCGACGGCGGCGGCCUCCUCUCUAGGGUUCCACGAAAUCUCUAUCUCUUUCUAUUUUAUGUCGUCUCCACACCUUUAGGAUUGACCUAAAGGGGGUAUUUAUAGCUUCUGGGGUGGUUGUGGACACUUAGGGCUUCAAAAAUAACGAAAGGAAUUGAUCUGGGCUUUAAUUAAGUCGUCGGGAAAGUCAACGACCAAGUUCCGCGGUCGCGGUGGCUCUACCCACGGGAAAAUAGGUGUUGGCCGCGGUCCCGGGUAAUGCUCUCUUCCGGAACUGCAUUUUCUGUCAUUCUUGCAUCGGGAGUAUCUGAAGAUCUAACCGUUGGAUUGUCUCCAAAACAAGUGCAUUAGAAACCUGGUUGGAUCCUCUAUGUUGUCUCAAAUUUUGGGGGUGAUCAGACGGUGAGAAGGUCUUCAUCGCUUGUCAUACUUCUGACGGUCUGCAUUUAUCCAAUAUUGCUCAUUUGUUCCAAAUUGCAUGUCUUUUGUCCAAGUUUCCUGUAAAGUCUUUUGAAACUCUAAAAUAUUGAAAACACUUUAAAAA
Molecule: long non-coding RNA, 2901 nt
Filed under: Eutrema salsugineum
Lineage: Eukaryota; Viridiplantae; Streptophyta; Magnoliopsida; Brassicales; Brassicaceae
Description: long non-coding RNA (ESAL_LNC000999)
Source: RNAcentral